This 400-nucleotide ribosomal RNA is filed under the name phytoplankton environmental sample. RNAcentral describes it as "partial small subunit ribosomal RNA". It matches the Rfam family "Eukaryotic small subunit ribosomal RNA", at positions 587 to 988 of the family's 1831-position model. The record is from RNAcentral.
AGCUCCAAUAGCGUAUAUUAAAGUUGUUGCAGUUAAAAAGCUCGUAGUUGGAUUUGUGGGUGGAGCGAAUGUCCCGACGCUUAGCGUGGGUGAUGUUCGUCUCCGUCCAUCUUUGGGUGGAAUCUGUGUGGCAUUAAGUUGUCGUGCAGGGGAUGCCCAUCUUUUACUGUGAAAAAAUUAGAGUGUUCAAAGCAGGCUGUCACAGCCCGAAUACAUGAGCAUGGAAUAAUGGAAUAGGACCGCGGUUCUAUUUUGUUGGUUUCUACGACCGCAGUAAUGAUUAAGAGGGACAAUUGGGGGCAUCCGUAUUUCGUUGUCAGAGGUGAAAUUCUUGGAUUUACGAAAGACGAACAACUGCGAAAGCAUUUGCCAAGAGUGUUUUCAUUAAUCAAGAACGAAA